UUAAGCGACUAAGCGUACACGGUGGAUGCCCUGGCAGUCAGAGGCGAUGAAGGACGUGCUAAUCUGCGAUAAGCGUCGGUAAGGUGAUAUGAACCGUUAUAACCGGCGAUUUCCGAAUGGGGAAACCCAGUGUGUUUCGACACACUAUCAUUAACUGAAUCCAUAGGUUAAUGAGGCGAACCGGGGGAACUGAAACAUCUAAGUACCCCGAGGAAAAGAAAUCAACCGAGAUUCCCCCAGUAGCGGCGAGCGAACGGGGAGCAGCCCAGAGCCUGAAUCAGUGUGUGUGUUAGUGGAAGCGUCUGGAAAGGCGCGCGAUACAGGGUGACAGCCCCGUACACAAAAAUGCACAUGCUGUGAGCUCGAUGAGUAGGGCGGGACACGUGGUAUCCUGUCUGAAUAUGGGGGGACCAUCCUCCAAGGCUAAAUACUCCUGACUGACCGAUAGUGAACCAGUACCGUGAGGGAAAGGCGAAAAGAACCCCGGCGAGGGGAGUGAAAAAGAACCUGAAACCGUGUACGUACAAGCAGUGGGAGCCUCUCUUUAUGGGGGGUGACUGCGUACCUUUUGUAUAAUGGGUCAGCGACUUAUAUUCUGUAGCAAGGUUAACCGAAUAGGGGAGCCGAAGGGAAACCGAGUCUUAACUGGGCGUUAAGUUGCAGGGUAUAGACCCGAAACCCGGUGAUCUAGCCAUGGGCAGGUUGAAGGUUGGGUAACACUAACUGGAGGACCGAACCGACUAAUGUUGAAAAAUUAGCGGAUGACUUGUGGCUGGGGGUGAAAGGCCAAUCAAACCGGGAGAUAGCUGGUUCUCCCCGAAAGCUAUUUAGGUAGCGCCUCGUGAAUUCAUCUCCGGGGGUAGAGCACUGUUUCGGCAAGGGGGUCAUCCCGACUUACCAACCCGAUGCAAACUGCGAAUACCGGAGAAUGUUAUCACGGGAGACACACGGCGGGUGCUAACGUCCGUCGUGAAGAGGGAAACAACCCAGACCGCCAGCUAAGGUCCCAAAGUCAUGGUUAAGUGGGAAACGAUGUGGGAAGGCCCAGACAGCCAGGAUGUUGGCUUAGAAGCAGCCAUCAUUUAAAGAAAGCGUAAUAGCUCACUGGUCGAGUCGGCCUGCGCGGAAGAUGUAACGGGGCUAAACCAUGCACCGAAGCUGCGGCAGCGACGCUGAUGCGUUGUUGGGUAGGGGAGCGUUCUGUAAGCCUGCGAAGGUGUGCUGUGAGGCAUGCUGGAGGUAUCAGAAGUGCGAAUGCUGACAUAAGUAACGAUAAAGCGGGUGAAAAGCCCGCUCGCCGGAAGACCAAGGGUUCCUGUCCAACGUUAAUCGGGGCAGGGUGAGUCGACCCCUAAGGCGAGGCCGAAAGGCGUAGUCGAUGGGAAACAGGUUAAUAUUCCUGUACUUGGUGUUACUGCGAAGGGGGGACGGAGAAGGCUAUGUUGGCCGGGCGACGGUUGUCCCGGUUUAAGCGUGUAGGCUGGUUUUCCAGGCAAAUCCGGAAAAUCAAGGCUGAGGCGUGAUGACGAGGCACUACGGUGCUGAAGCAACAAAUGCCCUGCUUCCAGGAAAAGCCUCUAAGCAUCAGGUAACAUCAAAUCGUACCCCAAACCGACACAGGUGGUCAGGUAGAGAAUACCAAGGCGCUUGAGAGAACUCGGGUGAAGGAACUAGGCAAAAUGGUGCCGUAACUUCGGGAGAAGGCACGCUGAUAUGUAGGUGAAGUCCCUCGCGGAUGGAGCUGAAAUCAGUCGAAGAUACCAGCUGGCUGCAACUGUUUAUUAAAAACACAGCACUGUGCAAACACGAAAGUGGACGUAUACGGUGUGACGCCUGCCCGGUGCCGGAAGGUUAAUUGAUGGGGUUAGCGCAAGCGAAGCUCUUGAUCGAAGCCCCGGUAAACGGCGGCCGUAACUAUAACGGUCCUAAGGUAGCGAAAUUCCUUGUCGGGUAAGUUCCGACCUGCACGAAUGGCGUAAUGAUGGCCAGGCUGUCUCCACCCGAGACUCAGUGAAAUUGAACUCGCUGUGAAGAUGCAGUGUACCCGCGGCAAGACGGAAAGACCCCGUGAACCUUUACUAUAGCUUGACACUGAACAUUGAGCCUUGAUGUGUAGGAUAGGUGGGAGGCUUUGAAGUGUGGACGCCAGUCUGCAUGGAGCCGACCUUGAAAUACCACCCUUUAAUGUUUGAUGUUCUAACGUGGACCCGUAAUCCGGGUUGCGGACAGUGUCUGGUGGGUAGUUUGACUGGGGCGGUCUCCUCCUAAAGAGUAACGGAGGAGCACGAAGGUUGGCUAAUCCUGGUCGGACAUCAGGAGGUUAGUGCAAUGGCAUAAGCCAGCUUGACUGCGAGCGUGACGGCGCGAGCAGGUGCGAAAGCAGGUCAUAGUGAUCCGGUGGUUCUGAAUGGAAGGGCCAUCGCUCAACGGAUAAAAGGUACUCCGGGGAUAACAGGCUGAUACCGCCCAAGAGUUCAUAUCGACGGCGGUGUUUGGCACCUCGAUGUCGGCUCAUCACAUCCUGGGGCUGAAGUAGGUCCCAAGGGUAUGGCUGUUCGCCAUUUAAAGUGGUACGCGAGCUGGGUUUAGAACGUCGUGAGACAGUUCGGUCCCUAUCUGCCGUGGGCGCUGGAGAACUGAGGGGGGCUGCUCCUAGUACGAGAGGACCGGAGUGGACGCAUCACUGGUGUUCGGGUUGUCAUGCCAAUGGCACUGCCCGGUAGCUAAAUGCGGAAGAGAUAAGUGCUGAAAGCAUCUAAGCACGAAACUUGCCCCGAGAUGAGUUCUCCCUGACUCCUUGAGAGUCCUGAAGGAACGUUGAAGACGACGACGUUGAUAGGCCGGGUGUGUAAGCGCAGCGAUGCGUUGAGCUAACCGGUACUAAUGAACCGUGAGACUUAACCU
RNAcentral lists this ribosomal RNA (2904 nucleotides) under Escherichia coli. RNAcentral describes it as "23S ribosomal RNA". It matches the Rfam family "Bacterial large subunit ribosomal RNA". Lineage: Bacteria; Pseudomonadati; Pseudomonadota; Gammaproteobacteria; Enterobacterales; Enterobacteriaceae. The record is from RNAcentral.